AUCUACAGCCAUGACACCCUGAACGUGCCCUGUCUUGUCUAAUCUCAAAAGCUAAGUAGAGUCGGGCCUGGUUAGUACUUGGAUGGAAGAUCACCAAGGAAGACCAGGUGCUGUAGGCA
Pteropus vampyrus (large flying fox) is the source of this 119-nucleotide ribosomal RNA. The record is from Ensembl. Lineage: Eukaryota; Metazoa; Chordata; Mammalia; Chiroptera; Pteropodidae.